AGUGAACGCUGGCGGUAGGCCUAACACAUGCAAGUCGAACGGCAGCACAGUAAGAGCUUGCUCUUACGGGUGGCGAGUGGCGGACGGGUGAGGAAUACAUCGGAAUCUACUUUUUCGUGGGGGAUAACGUAGGGAAACUUACGCUAAUACCGCAUACGACCUACGGGUGAAAGCAGGGGAUCUUCGGACCUUGCGCGAUUGAAUGAGCCGAUGUCGGAUUAGCUAGUUGGCGGGGUAAAGGCCCACCAAGGCGACGAUCCGUAGCUGGUCUGAGAGGAUGAUCAGCCACAUGGGAACUGAGACACGGGCCAAACUCCUACGGGGGGCAGGAGGGGGGAAUAUUGGACAAUGGGCGAAAGCCUGAUCCAGCCAUACCGCGUGGGUGAAGAAGGCCUUCGGGUUGUAAAGCCCUUUUUUUGGGAAAAAAAAGCAGCAGGUUAAUACCCCGCUGUUCUGGCGGUACCAAAAGAAUAAGCACCGGCUAACUUCGU
Molecule: ribosomal RNA, 491 nt
Filed under: uncultured bacterium
Lineage: Bacteria
Description: partial 16S ribosomal RNA
Rfam family: Bacterial small subunit ribosomal RNA
Source: RNAcentral